This 75-nucleotide transfer RNA is filed under the name Meiothermus sp. RNAcentral describes it as "tRNA-Ala". It matches the Rfam family "tRNA". From Rfam's summary of the family: Transfer RNA (tRNA) molecules are approximately 80 nucleotides in length. Lineage: Bacteria; Thermotogati; Deinococcota; Deinococci; Thermales; Thermaceae. The record is from RNAcentral. RNAcentral also lists the same sequence under 2 other names.
GGGGGUGUAGCUCAGCGGGAGAGCAGGUCCUUUGCAAGGACAAGGUCGGGGGUUCAAAUCCCUUCACCUCCACCA